GAAUGUGUCCAUACCAUCCUGAACAUGUCCUAUCUCAUCUGAUCUUAGGAGCUAAGUAGGGCUGGGCCUGAUCAGUAACUGCGAGAAUAAGUAGUUUAGCAAGAUUGCAGGAUACAUGAUCA
This 122-nucleotide ribosomal RNA is filed under the name Carlito syrichta (Philippine tarsier). The record is from RNAcentral. Lineage: Eukaryota; Metazoa; Chordata; Mammalia; Primates; Tarsiidae.